This 121-nucleotide transfer RNA is filed under the name Thermoproteus tenax Kra 1. It matches the Rfam family "tRNA". From Rfam's summary of the family: Transfer RNA (tRNA) molecules are approximately 80 nucleotides in length. Their secondary structure includes four short double-helical elements and three loops (D, anti-codon, and T loops). Lineage: Archaea; Thermoproteati; Thermoproteota; Thermoprotei; Thermoproteales; Thermoproteaceae. The record is from Rfam by way of RNAcentral.
GGGCCCGUAGCUCAGCAUGGAUAGAGCGGCGGUGGACCCAGCCCAAGUCCGCCGAGCCUCCUAAGGGCGCGUGGCGCCCGUGGAAAGCCGUAGGUCGUGGGUUCGAAUCCCACCGGGCCCG